CCUACGGGAGGCAGCAGUGAGGAAUAUUGGUCAAUGGACGAGAGUCUGAACCAGCCAAGUAGCGUGAAGGAUGACUGCCCUAUGGGUUGUAAACUUCUUUUAUAUGGGAAUAAAAUGUUCCACGUGUGGGAUUUUGUAUGUACCAUAUGAAUAAGGAUCGGCUAACUCCGUGCCAGCAGCCGCGGUAAUACGGAGGAUCCGAGCGUUAUCCGGAUUUAUUGGGUUUAAAGGGGGCGGAGGUCGGUUGGUAAGUCCGUCGGUAAAGUUUGGGGGCUAAACGCAAAAUUGCAGUUGAAACUGGCAGCCUUGAGUAAAGUAGAGGUGGGCGGAAUGCGUGGUGUAGCGGUGAAAUGCAUAGAUAUCACGCAGAACGCCGAUUGCGAAGGCAGCUCACGGGCGUGCAACUGACACUGAGGCUCGAAAGUGUGGGUAUCAAACAGGAUUAGAUACCCGAGUAGUC
Molecule: ribosomal RNA, 460 nt
Filed under: uncultured bacterium
Lineage: Bacteria
Description: partial 16S ribosomal RNA
Rfam family: Bacterial small subunit ribosomal RNA
Source: RNAcentral